This 246-nucleotide unclassified non-coding RNA is filed under the name Hevea brasiliensis (rubber tree). Lineage: Eukaryota; Viridiplantae; Streptophyta; Magnoliopsida; Malpighiales; Euphorbiaceae. The record is from RNAcentral.
UCUAUUUAAUCUAACUUAUGAUUUCACAUGGUUUUUAUUUUUUUACUUCUAUGUGUAGUAAACAUGUGUGUUGCUGAAAAUUAGUAAUAAAAAUGAAUUUGGAAUCCUUAUAUGUUAAUUGCUAAAAUUAUAAAUGAAGUAGCGUCAUUUAAAGUGAAAAUUAGCAUAAAUGGUUACUAUAUUUCUUGUUUAUUUAAGUUCCUUGUGAUUACUAUUCUUGCCAGAUUUUCAAGUUAAGUAAUUAUG